UUCACAUUCCAACUCUCAUCGAAGAGUCCCAACUGUCAGGCAACAUCCAACAAGAUUUACGCCAUCCAAUGCAAAACAUUCCAAUUGUCAACCAGUCAUCGACCCCAACCAGCGAAGAGAGCCUACCGAAGAGAAACGGCCAUUCCGCUUAAAACAUUUCCCUGUAAACUCACACAUGCCCGCUGUCGCGAGAAAUGCACAUCUCCGGCUACGGUCCUUUCGGUGUGUAUGCGCUCAGCGUGCUCAUACACGGCCUGGUCCCAUUCAUUCCUGGAUCUCGCUCGCAUUGUUUUGGUUCACACCGAGGCCAUUGAACCCCGAAAGUGAACAGAAUUUCGCCCCCGUGACGUGCGUCGACCCCGCAGCGUACGAGCAGCUCCAAAGAAGCGCGGCCCGUCAGCGUCGCCAAGAAACGCACGUCGGACGCAGUGCAGGAGUGCGUGUGUGUCAUCGAACGUCCCAAACGAGCAAUCGAUCCGCCGCGAGUGAAAUCGCGGCCCCAUUUCCACGCACGAUUGCCCAGUGCAGUGACAAUAAUUAAUCCAAAUACGCGGCAGGUUAGUGCCGCUCGCACGCAGUUUCCCAUCCGUCCACCGCGGAACGCAUUACGCACCGUCGCCGCGAGAAAAUUCAGAGGCGGACAAUCGAGCCGCGACUGAUCCCAGCGUGGGCUCGACCGCGGCAGUGCACCCAGGAAAGUGAAAAUCCAAGAAAUUCGCGUGAACAGUGAAAAGGCGGGAAAACUAGUGAAAACGACGGGAACCCCCGCGGCAGCGACUGCAGUGAGAGUGGUGAAGGUGAGCGUGGCCGGGCUACUGGCGCGGUCCGCAGUCCAGGAAUUCAGGGAAGCGCGUCCCGCGAACCAGUUCCGGCCCAGUCAGUGGAGCCCGCAAAGGUUGAAGCCCCAAAUAUAAACACGCAUCGACGGCAAACCGAGGGGAGCGGCCGCAGCGGCUGCACCAGCUGCGCGCAAGCGAGACAGCAAGAGGAAGUGGAUUCGACAAAAAUUCAUUUAGAGUUCAAUCGCGUUCAGUCGCGGGUCCAGGAACACCCUCGCGCGCGUCUCCAGAGCACGCGAAGCCAAGUCCCAGCCAGGCCGGGAAAUCGAUUUUCCCAGCCGCGCGCUGUAGUGUCGCGAGUGCAAAAAACUCGGCCAUUUAUUGAUGUUUUCCCGACGUCGACGACCUGAGUAGUGGCAAAAGGAAAAUCGAAGACAAAACAAAAGAAAAACGGAGUCGAGCCCGAGAAGAAGAAGAAGUGGUGCCCCGAUCAGGCGGGGCUGUGUGAGUAGUGGUGUCGUGGCGGCUGGUGCGCGGCUGUGUGUGAGUUAGGUAAUACACGCGUGUUUUCCGCCGCGGUCAUUGACCCCGAAUGCCGGCUCGCUGCCGUGCACACCUCCCUAAGAGAAACUCCUUGAAUGAGAAGUGAGCGAGUGGCAGUGAAGAGACAGCACGGAAAUCGGAAAAACACUCGCCUUUGCAGGAUGGCGCUCUCGUGUGUGUGGAAAUCGGUAAGAGACCGCGGCAAAGAGAAGUGCAGUGUCGAUGACAGCGGCCGUUGCCUCCGUUGCUGUCAUCAGCCGGCAAAAUAAUCGUUCCGUCAAAGUUUUAUUGCCAUUUCGUUCAUUCACACGCGGCCUGCCAGUGCGGCGGAUGUGUCGUCAUCGAUAUUGAACGCGAGACGGAAAGCAGACUUAUCGGAAAAGCGGAAAAGCCUGGAACAAUCGGUUGGUUUGGCUGAGUGGGCUGGCCAGAUAGCAAUUACAGGAGUUGGAAAUUACAAGUGUCAUUGGCCGGCUUGGAGGUUUUUGCACUGUGACGGUGGUAGGUUCGGGGACAUGGUCUUGAUUGAGGAAGCCUCUAUGCGCGGAGUGAACUCAGAUUGAAGCGAGCCCUGUCCUUUUUGAUCGCCCUUUAACCGUUCUGCCGAGCAGAUUCACGCUCCAACAUCCAGUCGAGGUUUCAAUGUAAAGUGAUGGCAAAAAGUGCGGGCAGUGCAUGUCCGUGAAAUUCAAGUGAAGGACUUUCGGGACCUUUCUCGCUUCUCGCAGCCCCACAGGAGCUCUUUGGACACGGAGAACCUGACCAUCAAACAUGUUGUGAUUCGAAAAACAGUGGGUUCAUAUUCAGUCAGUUUCUCCCAAGCCAUUAUUCGCCUGAUAAGAACCUAAAAGGAACACACAGCGACCUUUGGACAAAACAAACAACCGAAACUCUUCGGACGUCAUAAUUUCAAAUUUAUUCCGGUUCCCUCAUUUCUUUUACAAACCAACACUGGACGCUCCCUCCUCAUCCAACUCAACGUCUGCUCCAGCCUCCCCUUGCUUCCCGCCCAUACGAGUGCUCCCGUUCCUAAUCUGAAUCUGUUGAAUGACUGUCUUUCUUUCUAUCGCCGAAAUAUUCACAUUUCAAUAAGAAGAAAAAAAACUGUCGCCAAUCAGCCAUUGACCUUUCAUUUGUCCGAUCGGAAUCAACUGCCGCUGCUGCAAUCUGGGAAUUCGUCAAUUGUUUGAUCGUCCGCUGCUGAUUAAUGUAUUCAAAUACGAUUUGUUAUGCAAAGUGCAGUGCAUUCGGUUAAUUUUGUCAUGAAACGUAUCCACGGAAAUUGGUCGUUGACGAAAUUCGCAAGAGAAAAAGUUACGUAAAGUGUUUUAAGGCCUUACUCUGUGCAUGAAGUUUGCCGCGGUAUUUCUGCAACGCUAUUUCGAAAAAUAAUUGUUACUGGUGAUUAUUUACUGUGCGAGUGUGCGUACUUUACGACUGUAGCGAGAAUUUCAAACAGUUUGUGAUGUGGCUUCGGAUCAAUGUUGGAAUUCAGGAUAUUCGGCUGGCCUAGAUAAUGGAUUAUGAUUCGGGCGAAAUAGCAAUAAUAAGAAGGAACGCUGAACUAUUCCAACACACAUAUUCCACGACGCAUGUAAAGAGGCGGCGAUCAUCAACGACUUUUGCAACGGAUAUAUUCCCUAUCUGACCUAGCUUUUCCGGUUCCCUGGUUAUGUCUCUCGUCAGUUUUUACGUUAACUAUACAUUCUAAAGGCGAGUAUCUGCUCUAAUCCGUCUCUACAAAAUCCAUUGUCACAAAAAAGUUUAUUGGUCGGUCGGCUGGUUAUCAACUAUAAUUUGCAACAACGCUGACAAGAAUUAGAGAAAACGCCAUGAAUGAGAGGGAGAAUACAAUGA
Long non-coding RNA from Hermetia illucens (black soldier fly), 3179 nucleotides. RefSeq lists it as uncharacterized. Lineage: Eukaryota; Metazoa; Arthropoda; Insecta; Diptera; Stratiomyidae. The transcript is spliced from 4 exons. The record is from RefSeq and is a predicted model, not a curated record.